GUGGGAUGGCCGUCCCUUCUAGGGUCUCUAGCCAGUAAGCUCUCGGCCCGUAGGUGUCGGCUAUCUUGUAGGGUCCCUCCCAAUUCGGGGAUAAUUUUCUCCGAUCCAGGGGUUUCGAGACUUCCGCCUUUCUCAAGACCAGGUCUCCAGGUCAGAAGAGCUUCGGCUUCACCCUGGCGUUGUAGUACCGAGCCACCUUUUAUC
This 204-nucleotide long non-coding RNA is filed under the name Elaeis guineensis (African oil palm). RNAcentral's name for it is "long non-coding RNA (EGUI_LNC072832)". Lineage: Eukaryota; Viridiplantae; Streptophyta; Magnoliopsida; Arecales; Arecaceae. The record is from RNAcentral.